CGCGUCUGUCCCGCGGAAUGCGAGGAGCGCGGGGGACGGGGGGCGCUUAAUCGUGGAAGGAAGCGAGGCGGGAGAGGCGCUGAGCCGCAGUCACCGCCAUCUCACCGGUGCCUGAGUGUUUCGAUACGUGUCAGUUCAGUGAGUGGGAAAACGCCGGUCUUGGUCAGCGUCUUCAUCAAUGACCUGGAAUAAGGGGUCUGUGACCACAGCCUUCCCAAGCACAGGCUGCUAAAGAGCUCUCACUUGGACGAGACUGCACAGCUCACAGAAGCUCCUCUCUAAUACCCGGAGGCAGGACCCAGACAUGGUAGAAGUCACCCCAUAGCCCCUGAGAUGAGUGUUUGGGCACGUGCUCUGAGAAAUCUCUCUUUGGGACAACCGCAGAAGAGAAAUGGCAAAGGCUUCAGAAAUAACGACCAGGGACUGGCGCUGGCCCCGUGUGGUGCCUCCACAGGGAAAAUUAGUGGCAAGCCAGCAUCUCGGCCAGCACUCGCCAGCCUUCUCUUUACAUGCCUGUACCCUUCAUCCAGACAGACAUCCUGAAAGCGUCUUCAGGAUAUCUUUUCAGUGGAGCUCUGUGAAUUCAGACUGCUCUUCCAAGCAGGCUUUCAGAGCGCAUCUCCACCUCCAGAAAAAGCCACCUUGAAUCUCUUGACUCUUCCUUUGUCAGAUCACUUUGGAUUUCCCAGUUCACAGAAGAGACACACACACGUUCCAGUCAGAAACACAACCUCAGCUCGAUAACCUACUCCAGCACACUGCAAACACUCUACUUUUGAUAUUUUUCUCAUUUCUGUGUUUGACUAAUGGCUCUCAAUUCAGCACGCUUCUACAGUACUUGACACCAAGACCCAGGAAAGCUGCUGAAGUAUACACGUGUAACUCAUCCGUCUUGCAAAGAAAAAGAAUGGUAACGUUGUAUUGCAAACAGCAGCCCUGGAAAAUCCCUAACAAUUUUUCUUAGCUACAGAGAACACACAAAUGUCCUAAUAACUACAACCUGCUUCUUAACCAACAAGAAGGGGGCUGUCUAAUGCAGUCUUUCCAUGACAGAGGGAAAGAACAAAACAGUACCUGAAACCCACUGACUUUAGAGACUUCCAUCUGAGGACUGCCCCUGGAGAAAGAAGACAGGUAUGCAGAGCUUGAGCUGAAAGCUACAGAGCUUACAGUCUUCAGAUUUUGCGGGGCAUUACACCUAGGCAGGUGUGUGUUUUAUACUUUGGCUAGCCACGAGUGACACAAGUAUUUUAUAUUUCCCUGCCCUUUUCUGUAGACUGCUUUGCAAGUCGCCUGUCUUGUACCCCACCUAUCCCAGGGCUUCUCUGCUCAAAGCCAAGACACCUGCACCUUGCAGUGCACACUACCCGUAGCAAGUUGACUGCUGCUCUUCCAAAUAAGUAAAUACGAAGUGAAUGAAGUCCAAGGGAAUAUUCUGAUUGGCAGUGGCUGUUCUGUCCGUCUUAGCCUAGAUCAGUUUGACAUAAGCCAUUUAUUUCAUGGUUAACCCCAGAAAAGUCCUGCAAGGAAUAGAAAUGCAUGCAUUAAUCCUGCUUACCGGUUUGGUUCCACCUUGGGCUGGAUGAAGGAGCCGCUGCAACCCAAACUCAAAUUUAUUGCUCCAAAUACUGUAAAGAAAACAACACUCCCUUGUGAUCCUCACACAAACUCUUUAUUACGGAGGGAAGAAAGAGACAACACUGUAAAGAGCUGAGCACUACAACGAAACAUAAAGCAGCAUUAAAGUUGCUCUGUGCCUAAUGCUGUGGUUUAAGCAGCUAAUCUUGUUUUGGUUGAAUGGCAUGUUCAUUACAGCAAAUAAAUCAGCAACGUGUGGGAUUAUUGAAGAGGAAAGACAUAUUAAACCAGUUUAGGGCAUCAUAUUGAUUUUUUUUUUUUCCAAGUGUCUGAUUUAGCUUGGCGUUUUUCAACAGUCAGUUCUAAUAAAUGCUUGUAGAGCACAGAUUAAGCAGGUGGGAAUGCUGCCCAGAAAGAGUAUUAUGAAUAACUUAAG
This 2014-nucleotide long non-coding RNA is filed under the name Gallus gallus (chicken). RNAcentral describes it as "lncRNA (ENSGALG00010015396.1)". Lineage: Eukaryota; Metazoa; Chordata; Aves; Galliformes; Phasianidae. The record is from RNAcentral.